UUUAUAAUGUUUAAUUCUAUAAGUACGUUAUUGCUCUAUUUCAACUGCAGAGUGACAAUAAAAUGGUUUAUUAGGUUUAUAACUUUUUUUCUUAAUACAAGCCCACCCCCCCAAAAAAAACAACAAAAAAACAAUGAAAAUAAACACAAUAAACAUUACGUCAAACAAUAAUUGAAAUACAGAGAAUAAGUAUUUUGGAACUUUCUUUUUGAUGAAAGUAAAUAGAUUCCUUUUCAUGUAUCAUUUUAAAAAAAAAUAGUUCGAGGGGAGACAGUAGAUCAAUUUACACUUCACAAAGGAAG
Biomphalaria pfeifferi is the source of this 302-nucleotide non-coding RNA. NCBI's taxonomy places the organism in Eukaryota, Metazoa, Mollusca, Gastropoda, Planorbidae. The record is from the annotation of a GenBank genome assembly.